RNAcentral lists this ribosomal RNA (406 nucleotides) under uncultured bacterium. RNAcentral describes it as "partial 16S ribosomal RNA". It matches the Rfam family "Bacterial small subunit ribosomal RNA", at positions 30 to 526 of the family's 1533-position model. The record is from RNAcentral.
AUUGAACGCUGGCGGCAGGCCUAACACAUGCAAGUCGAACGAGUGGCGGACGGGUGAGUAAUGUCUGGGAAACUGCCUGAUGGAGGGGGAUAACUACUGGAAACGGUAGAUAAUACCGCAUACCAUCAGAUGUGCCCAGAUGGGAUUAGCUGGUUGGUGGGGUAACGCCGCACCAGGGCGACGAUCCCUAGCUGGUCUGAGAGGAUGACCAGCCCCACUGGACCUGAGACACGGUCCAGACUCCGACGGGUGGCAGCAGUGGGGAAUAUUGCACAAUGGGCGCAGGCCUGAAGCAGCCAUGCCGCGUGUAUUAAGAAGGCCUUCGGGUUGUAAAGUACUUUCAGCGGGGAGGCGUUACCCGCAGAAGAAGCACCGGCUAACUCCGUGCCAGCAGCCGCGGUAAUUC